The sequence is a transfer RNA, 100 nucleotides long. It matches the Rfam family "tRNA". Rfam says of the family: Transfer RNA (tRNA) molecules are approximately 80 nucleotides in length. Their secondary structure includes four short double-helical elements and three loops (D, anti-codon, and T loops).
GUCGUAUUAGUAUAGUGGUUAGUACUCCUCCUUGUGGUCCGAUUCAUUCAAUUGAAUCCUCAGCUCGGUGGUAACGCAGGCUCGAAUCCUGCAUGCGACA